UUGGCUAAAGUGUCUUGGCUAAUGUGUCUCGGCUAAGGUGUCUUGGCUAAUGUGUCUUGGCUAAGGUGUCUUGGCUAAUGUGUCUUGGCUAAGGUGUCUAGGCUAAAGUGUCUUGGCUAAGGUGUCUUGGCUAAGGUGUCUUGGCUAAGGUGUCUUGGCUAAGGUGUCUUGGCUAAUGUGUCUUGGCUAAGGUGUCUUGGCUAAGGUGUCUUGGCUAAGGUGUCUUGGCAAAGGUGUCUUGGCUAAGGUGUCUUGGCUAAGGUGUCUUGGCUAAGGUGUCUUGGCUAAGAUGUCUCGGCUAAUGUGUCUUGGCUAAGGUGUCUUGGCUAAGGUGUCUUGGCUAAGGUGUCUAGGCUAAGGUGUCUUGGCUAAUGUGUCUCGGCUAAUGUGUCUUGGCUAAAGUGUCUUGGCUAAUGUGUCUCGGCUAAGGUGUCUUGGCUAAUGUGUCUUGGCUAAGGUGUCUUGGCUAAUGUGUCUCGGCUAAGGUGUCUUGGCUAAAGUGUCUUGGCUAAGGUGUCUUGGCUAAGGUGUCUUGGCUAAGGUGUCUUGGCUAAUGUGUCUUGGCUAAGGUGUCUUGGCUAAGGUGUCUUGGCUAAGGUGUCUUGGCUAAGGUGUCUUGGCUAAGGUGUCUUGGCUAAGGUGUCUUGGCUAAGGUGUCUUGGCUAAGGUGUCUCGGCUAAGGUGUCUUGGCUAAUGUGUCUCGGCUAAGGUGUCUUGGCUAAGGUGUCUUGGCUAAUGUGUCUCGGCUAAAGUGUCUUGGCUAAUGUGUCUUGGCUAAGGUGUCUUGGCUAAGGUGUCUUGGCUAAGGUGUCUUGGCUAAGGUGUCUUGGCUAAGGUGUCUUGGCUAAGGUGUCUUGGCUAAGGUGUCUUGGCUAAUGUGUCUCGGCUAAGGUGUCUUGGCUAAGGUGUCUUGGCUAAUGUGUCUCGGCUAAGGUGUCUUGGCUAAGGUGUCUUGGCUAAUGUGUCUCGGCUAAAGUGUCUUGGCUAAGGUGUCUUGGCUAAGGUGUCUUGGCUAAGGUGUCUUGGCUAAGGUGUCUUGGCUAAGGUGUCUUGGCUAAGGUGUCUUGGCUAAGGUGUCUUGGCUAAUGUGUCUCGGCUAAGGUGUCUUGGCUAAGGUGUCUUGGCUAAGGUGUCUUGGCUAAGGUGUCUUGGCUAAGGUGUCUUGGCUAAGGUGUCUUGGCUAAGGUGUCUUGGCUAAGGUGUCUUGGCUAAGGUGUCUUGGCUAAUGUGUCUUGGCUAAGGUGUCUUGGCUAAGGUGUCUUGGCUAAGGUGUCUUGGCUAAUGUGUCUCGGCUAAGGUGUCUUGGCUAAGGUGUCUUGGCUAAGGUGUCUUGGCUAAGGUGUCUUGGCUAAGGUGUCUUGGCUAAUGUGUCUUGGCUAUGGUGUCUUGGCUAAUGUGUCUUGGCUAAGGUGUCUUGGCUAAUGUGUCUUUGCUAAGGUGUCUUGGCUAAGGUGUCUUGGCUAAGGUGUCUUGGCUAAGGUGUCUUGGCUAAUGUGUCUUGGCUAAUGUGUCUUGGCUAAGGUGUCUUGGCUGAGGUGUCUUGGCUAAGGUGUCUUGGCUAAUGUGUCUCGGCUAAUGUGUCUCGGCUAAGGUGUCUUGGCUAAUGUGUCUUGGCUAAUGUGUCUUGGCUAAGGUGUCUUGGCUGAGGUGUCUUGGCUAAGGUGUCUUGGCUAAUGUG
Long non-coding RNA from Anopheles funestus (African malaria mosquito), 1678 nucleotides. RefSeq lists it as uncharacterized. Lineage: Eukaryota; Metazoa; Arthropoda; Insecta; Diptera; Culicidae. The record is from RefSeq and is a predicted model, not a curated record. The transcript is spliced from 3 exons.